MicroRNA precursor from Medicago truncatula (barrel medic), 115 nucleotides. It matches the Rfam family "MIR2593 microRNA precursor family". The record is from Rfam. NCBI's taxonomy places the organism in Eukaryota, Viridiplantae, Streptophyta, Magnoliopsida, Fabales, Fabaceae.
UUAUAAGGAAAAAUUAACAUUUUAGAAUCAUUCGUUAAAUGAUGUAUGUAGUCUAUAAUAAAGACCACAUACAUCAUUUAAUGAAUGAAUCUAAAAUAUUAACUUUUGCUUAUAA